Molecule: ribosomal RNA, 330 nt
Filed under: uncultured bacterium
Lineage: Bacteria
Description: bacterial SSU rRNA
Rfam family: Bacterial small subunit ribosomal RNA
Source: RNAcentral
GCGCGUAGGCGGCCUGUGUAAGUCUGAUGUGAAAUCCCGGGGCUUACACCCCGGAAGUGCAUUUGANACUGCCUGGCUUGAGUAUGGGAGAGGGAAGUGGAAUUCCUGGUGUAGCGGUGAAAUGCGUAGAUAUCUGGAGGAACACCGGUGGCGAAGGCGNCUUCCUGGACCNAUACUGACGCUGAGGCGCGAAAGCGUGGGGAGCAAACAGGAUUAGAUACCCUGGUAGUCCACGCCGUAAACGAUGAUCACUAGGUGUAGCGGGUAUUGACCCCUGCUGUGCCGGAUCUAACAANAUUAAGUGNACCCCCUGGAGACUACGCCCCCGGG